Molecule: long non-coding RNA, 16007 nt
Filed under: Ananas comosus (pineapple)
Lineage: Eukaryota; Viridiplantae; Streptophyta; Magnoliopsida; Poales; Bromeliaceae
Description: long non-coding RNA (ACOM_LNC017325)
Source: RNAcentral
UAUUAGGGAUGUGUGUGAAAGAAACUUGGAUUGACUAUAAGGGCUUGUUUGGUUCAUUCAUUUUGGCUAUGGAAUGAGAAUCAGUUUGAUCAAAUUCGGUUAAUUUUGUUUGGUUCGUAUGAAUUGGUUUGGAAUUCCUAUUCCGGACUGGAAUGGGAAUGGCCUAUUAGCCUUUAACUUGAUUCCGGUCUUCUAGCCCGGAUUGAGAUUUCAUUCCGGAAGCCCACUAAGUUCUCGAAGCCCAUGUGACCAUCUCACCCUCCUUCUCUUCACCCCUUUCUCAUCAAAAAAAAAAAAAAAAAAAAAACAUAUCCUCUUUCAAAAUCAUAUCCCUAACCCACAUCAAUAAAAGUUUUUAAAAAUAAAUUUGACAUUUUUUUUGAAAAACUUAUUAGAGAAUAGUAUUAUAUUUUUCAUAAAUUUUAAAUACUAUAAAUUUAUAUUUGAGAGUAAAAUUAGUAUUAUAGUAUCCUAUAAUUUUUUUAGUUUAUACGAAACAAACAAUGAAAUGUGAAUAACUCAUUCCAAUUCUCAAUCCACAAAUAAACCAAACGUCUUGAGGGAGUGAGCCAUUCCAAUUAUCAUUUCAAUGCAUUUCCAUUUCAUUAUCCAUUCCAAUUCCAUUCUUGAACCAAACAACCCCUAAUAGUGCUUAACAAUUAGGGUAUACUUUUCAGAGUCAAAUUUGGAAAUAUAAUUAAGGGAAAACUUCAAAAACCCCCCCUGUGGUUUCGUGCAUUCUCACUUUGCUACCCUGUGGUUUAAAACGUAUCAAUUUACCCCCCUGUGGUUUCAUUUUUAUCUUUUCGGAAGCUUUUUCGUUAAUAUUUCGUUAAAUUAUAUACAAAAAACUUCAGAUAACCAUCUAUAUUUAUCAAAUAGUCACUUUAGUAUCCUUUAAUUUUAACUUUGUCACUGAUUUUAAAAAAAAAUAAUAAUAAAAUUGAUAACAAAAAGAUAAAAACGAAACCACAGGGGGGCAAAUUGAUACGUUUUAAACCACAGGGUAGCAAAGUGAGAAUGCACGAAACCACAGGGGGGGUUUUUGAAGUUUUCCCUAUAAUCAAAUUAGGAAGCUGACUCAAAUUUUCCAGUGGUCAAUUGAAUGCAAGAAUCACCUCAUACGCACUAAUAUAAGUGGUGGGGAGAAAAGAAAAAAGAAAAAAAUAACACUUAACCUAUUAUGUAGUGGUGGGGAUUUAGCUUUUAACUGUAUGUUAGGUUUCUUCUUAAAAGAUCUAUCCUUUAAGUAAUAUGAUAUAAAAGUAGUGGUGGUGAAUGAAACUCUUACCUAAUAGAAUCCCCAUAAGUUACCUCUUCCAAUUGUGAACACGGUAGUUCAAAUAAUUUUCAUGCAUAUUCACCUCUCACUUUAAUUUCCAUGUUUGAUUCAUUCCUCUUUUAGAAUCAAAGAAUUGUUGAAUUACAAGGCUUUACUAAAGUGAUGCUUUUGUUUUUUUUUCCAAAAUUCUGCGCCAUGCGUUGACGAAUGGCGAUUCUCUUCCGAAGAAAAAAAAAAUGUUUGAAAUUGAUAAUAGGGUUAAUUUUAUACAGAUCCCUACAAAAAUAAUAAAUAACAAAUAUAUUCUUACAAAUCUUAACUUUCGUAUGUUGUCAUUGCAAAAGUUCUGAUAUUUUCAAAUAUGUCCCUACCGUUAGAAUUCGUUAGAAAAAUUUAUUUAACCAUAAAUUAAAUACUUAAGUCUGAUUAGUUUUUUAUAUUUUUACUCAUUUAUAUUAUAUUGUUAUAGUUUUUGGAGGGAUAUAUUUGUGAUGGCAAAAUUAAAAAUAUAAACAGCUAUCUAACUGUCCUCUAACAAUAACAAACCAGAGGGACAUAUUUGAAAAUAUCAAUACUUUUGUAGGAAGUACAAUUAUAAAAGUUGAACUUUGUAGGGAUAUAUUUGUCAUUCACUACAUUUGCAGGGACUUGUAUGAAAUUUACCUUUGAUAAUAAUGUAAUCCAGGUUUAUAAAAGUAAAUUGCAAAUUAAUUACUCAAAAUUUUUUCAAGCAGAAAAAAGAAUUUAAAACAAUCUACUAAACUUGAUAUAGAUCUUUUGCUCUUUUUAUUAUAUAAUAUAAAACAACCAUUAUUCUUCAAAAGUUUAAGUUAUUAGAUGACAGUGUUUUUAAUAUUUCAUUCCCCCUCACGUCUACGAUAGGACGUGAACUUAAUUAAAUAGGAGGAAAUUAAAGGAGACUAGAGACUAGGGAAAUUCAAUAAAAUGAUAAUUUACUAUUAAUAUAUAUUCAGCAUUGUUUUUCUCCCUCUCUUUGUUUUUUUUUUUUUUUUUUUUUUUUUUUUUUUUUUUUUUUUUUUUUUUCUUCUACGUAGACCUCCUCAGCUAUUGGUUAUUUUGCUCGCCACCGGUAGUCUGAUUGGUAAUGCACCUAUUUUCCAAGAGAGAAGUCGCGAGCUUGAUCACGUGUUUAUAAUAUAGACCUUCUUAAUUUUCUAAUUUUAUAAGAAUCGGUUAACUAUAAUCAAACAAAGUGGUGAAAUUAUAUCACUUUACGAUUUUAUUAGAUUUAUAAACUUAAUAUUUUUAACAAAUACCCUAAAUCAGUUUUAACGGUGUGGAUCGUUGAUUUGAAUACCCUAAGAUCGAAAACGAGACUAUAGUACCGGAGCUCCGGUACUAUUGAUAGUAUAGGAGACUAGCUCUAUAUACUAGUGCUUUUUUAACCUAUUUAUUAAUAAUAGUAGUGGGGAUUCAGCAAUGGCUUUGAUUUUAUGUUACUAGUGUGAGAUCCACCGCCAUUAUAAGCAGAGUUCCCUGCGUACAUUAAGUUGAAUUAAUCUUAUUUUUUACUUCUCCCAUUAUCUUCUUUCACAACAAUCAUAGUAAGAUUCAUCUAAUCUCCGUUAUACAUGUCCGAGUAUUUUUAAAUCAUGGAUUCGAUAUCAUUGAUUUCGAAUUCUUUUAGACUGGGGUCUCAUUUAGAUAAAAAUAAACCGAAAGCACUUUAAGUACUAUAUAUGGCUCAUUUUGAAAGUACUAUUCAAUCUUUUAAACUUUGAGUUUUGCGCUCUAAUCUGUCAAUUCGUUUAUUUUAAGCUAUAUAAUAGCACUUUAUUACAGAAUUUAGGCGCGCCAUUUAUGUUAUGAACUUGAUUAGAGUAUUUCAUAUAACUCAUGUGACAAUAUUUUGGGUAAAUGUAUAGCGUGCUUAAAUUUUAUAACAGAAGAACCAUUAAAUCAAUUUACUAGACUAUAUAUUAAAAUUAAAUUUUUUAAAAAUUAGAUUGUUGUGUGAAAACGGUCCUCGGUUGAAAUAAGUUUUGUACAUUUUUUCCUCACAUUUAGUUUUCAUGUUUGACUCAUUCCUUCUUUAGAAUCAAAGAAUUUUUAAAUGAAAACACUUAAUUAAAGUAAAGUGAUGUUUAAUUGCAUUCUUUGUGUGGAAUUCCAUGCACCGGUAGUAAUUAAAUAGAGGAGGGUAUGAGUCUUCAGUCUUGGUGAGUGAUAAUUAUGUCUUGAAGAAAAAAGUGUUUGAAAUUAAUUAAGUAUGCAUCCGGGUUAUAAAAGUAAAUUGUUAAUUAAUUAAUUACUGAAACUUAUUUUCUCAAGGAAAAAAAAUUUAAAAUAAUUUACAAGUUAGGGUUACCUUUCACUGAUAGUCGGGUUGGUAAGGCCCCUCCCUUCUAAGGGGGGAGGCUGCGAGAUUGAUCCGGCUUAUAUGUGUAUAUAUAUAUUUAUGUUUUACUAGUAUUCUUAGAGGAGAGGAAGUUUACUGUAUCACACUUGUACCAUAUUAUCAGUAACAAGCCAAUCAUAUCUCUUGAUCAAUUGAAUGUCAGAAUCACAUGACAUGCACUAAUAUAUAUAAGAAAAGAAAAGAAAAGAAAAACAUUUAACCUAUUUAAUAGUUAUGACACAUCCAUAAUUUAGAAUAGUUUUAUAAAUUAAUGAGAUAUUAGUAGGCUAAACCUUAUCAAUCCGACUGUAGCAUUUUGGAUGGUAGUUAGGCCCAGGAGGUGAAGAGGGUUAAUUGUGCUAGGGUUAAAAUAGUUCUAAGAUAGGCAAUCUCCUAGGAAAGUGGGGUGACAUAGUCAAUCACCAUUCGAAAGUGUGAAAUGAGAUUCAGUUGAGCCAAGAUUUGAAUAACAGACUAAAUCAGGAUCUGGAAAUGACAAGCUAAGCAAAAGUCUGAAUGACAAGGCUAGUGAGACGAGUCUCAUAUCGCCUGAUACUUGUGAGUGUGCUUAAGUCUGACAAGAACGUCAGGGCUUAAAAAUGGGAGAAAUUAAAUGUGACAUUUCCAAGAUCUAGAAUAACUCUAUAUAUAAGAUAUAAUCGAGUUAAAUCUUCUAACUGACUAUAGUAUUUUGAACGAUGGUUAGACCCAAGAGGUUAAAAUGGUUAAGUAUGCACCUAGAGGUAGAAUAAUUUUAGGAUGGAUGAUCGAUUUCUAUGGAAAGCGGGGCAUCACAAUAGUGUUAGAACAAUUACCGCACAAAAAUCUGAUUGUGAUUUAAAUCUAACUAAAUUUUAUUAUAAAUACAACUUACUUGCUAUAUCCAAAAAAAUACUUAAUUGAUCCGGAAGCGUGCGAGGCACUGCCCUAAGACGUAUUCCCGUCCUUACGUGCGGGAUUAACCGGAAACAACACCCCAAGAUACGACCGGAAUUUCUCCUCCUGCGAGCACGAUCGUGAAGAAGAUUGACGAAGACUCUUUCAACACCCAGCGAUAAGAAUCAAUCAAAAUAAAGAAAAUUGGAAAAUGGAAUAAACUUAAAAUAAAUUUUCUUUGAUCCCUUUAUUUUGUUUUUCCUCUGCAUCAUGUCACAUAAAGUAUAAACAGUAUGCGUUAUAUAGAUGUGGGAGUUGAACGUUGGUCCACAACGUUCGACCCACGUCGCUAAUAAUGAGCGCCAAUUAAGAAGGAAAACGUCAGCUCUUCAGCGGACGUUAAAAUUCCACUCAUUUAGGAAAUAAAAUAAUAUAUAAAACAUAUUAAUUAGUUAAAAUUAAUAAAAGAUAAUAAAUAAGUUAAUAAGAUAAUAAUAAUAAAAGAAAGUAAUUAGGAAAUUUUGAAUUUUACACCAACAAUCCCCCACAAAAUUCAAAAUUAUCGAAAUAGGAAUGAAACUUAAAAAUUAAAAUAAAUAAAUGAAUAAAUCACCGGGUGUUUAUACUAUGCAGUAGGCGAGGUGUCUUUAAAAGACUUAACCCCACUUAGUGUAAAUAGUUUCCAUCAGAAGGAAUCGGAGUGAAUCAGGUCUUGAACUACGUUCCUUUGUCCCAGACUUCUACUACCACACACACAGUACAGAGUUCUCCGUCGCGGGUCUGUGCGUUAAUGGCCAUGCACAGUACCUUAAUUUUUCAUAAGAGUUUCUAUGUAUAGCACAUUCACAUAGCCGCGGCCACAUACUGAUACUCUUAUAUAGGUGGUUUCCUCCAGGGAUGUGUGUAGAGUCAUAUCUCGCGAAAAUUAUCGCCUUGGAUUCCAUUAAGAGCUCUCAGCUCAACCUAAUCCACUACACAGAGCACUACUCACCAUGGGGAUGGAAUUGGAGCGAAAGCUCCUCUAUAAAAUUUGUAGAAAGUGCUCUUUGGCCAACCUGACAGCUUAUUUUUACCACAUUGAACCUUCUUCAAGGGAUCUCCUAUCACAAAGGUUGGGUUCCCACUGCAGGAAGGCCCUUUAUAGGCAAGAUCCCAUCCCCCUCGAUGACAGUAGGACUAUAGUCCUCUUCAGGCCUUUCAUCAAGCACUCUGCAAAAUUUUGAUCAGAUCUGAUAAAACUCAAAUUAAUAACAUUAUGAAGAAUAACCAUCUAAUAAAUUUAUGUCAAUAUAAUUUAUUUGCCAACUUUAGAAUUUACUAAAUUCUUCUCCAGGAUGAACAUUAAUAGUAAAACAGAUAAACAUAUGAGAGCAAACAUAAUAUCAAAAUUAAUCAACAGAUAAAAGAGUUUCCCCCCACAAGUUCUGAGAUACAUUAAGACUUAAGAUCAUGAUAUUAAUCAUGUGUCCAGUAGGGUUCUGUUCAACAACAAAUAGAUGCCCAAACAAUUUUAAAAGAUAUGUUCGAGCAAAAUAUAUAGAAUUUCACUAUUAUUUGACGUUGCAAACAGAGUAUAUUAACAAUACUGAAACAAUAAUAGAGAUGAUUAAAAUUUGAUUUACUGGUUUGAGACUAUGGCUAUAAGAAGUUGAGCAAACCACGGGUUCGAAUCCCACUGAAAACAAAUUUUUAUUUUAUUUUAUUUUUUUUCUUUUAUAAACAAAUUUAAAACACCCUAUAACAAAUAUGAGAAUAUAAUAAUUGAUAAUUAAACUAUAUGCAAUUAGCAAAUAAAUUAUAUGCAAUUAGAAUUUGAAAAUACUAAUUCUAAUUUAUUUAAAUUAGAACGACAAACAUACAAUCAAAUUUGUCAAACAAAAAUAACAUGCGAUAUCUUUCUAUUUUAAGCGAAAUAAUAAUUAAACUACAUACAUGAGUGUGCUAGUCUCGAACAGUAGUGCAGCGCAAGGGCGACAUGAUAAAAUUCCAGUAACAAGCUAUCAUGAGUAGACACUCCCCCACAAAAAAAUUAAUUUAAUAUCGAGGUUGGCAAGUAAUCCACAUAUAUCAGAUAUUAAACUAAUAAGAACAGAUAUUACAACGAAACAGUAUAUGUAUAUACGGUUACACUGAUUUUUUUUUUUUUAACUUAUAAAAAAAAAAACAGUGAAAACAAUAUACAUAUAGUUUUGAAAUCCAUAAUGUCCGUACCUUUUUAUUUUCAAAACAGCUACAAGUAAAGGCAUUUUUUUUUUUUUAAAUACUCAUCAAAUAAAAUGUAAUUUAAACAAGAAAUUACAUAAUAUGCAAUUAUAGGUUAAAAUGAUAAUUCCGAAAAUUUUGUAUUUGAAUGCCAAUUAUACAAACAAAUUAACUAACAAAUUAUAUACAUAUAAAAUUAAUUUAAUACGGAUUAGCAUUCGUCAGAUUUCAAUCACAAUCAAAUCGGAAUUACGUCUUAGAUUGUUGGAACAAAUACCGCACAGAAAUUUGAUUGUGAUUUAAAUCUAACUAAAUUUUACUAUGAAAAUAAAUAAAUCAACUUACAGAUGAUCGCUAAAUCCAAAUAAAUAUUUAAUUGAUCCGGAAGCGUGCGAGGCACUGCCCUAAGGCGUAUUCCUGUCCUUACGUGCGGGAUUAACCGGAAACAACACCCCAAGGUACGACCGGAAUUCCUCCUCCUGCGAGCACGAUCGUGAAGAAGGUUGACGGAGACUCUUUCAACACCCGAUGAUAAAAGAUCAAAUAAAUUAAAAUUAAAAGAAGAAAAAUUCCUCUCUCUGUCGUGUUCACAUCUCCACAUGAACAGUAUGCGAAGCAUACUAAUAUAGAGGGGAAUAGAAUGUAUGUAACCGUAGAAUCCAACCAACAUUUUAAUCCUAAUUAAUUACACAAAGCUAAUUAGAAAAUUUCAAAACCGCCCUAGAAUUCAUGCGCCACUAGAAGUCAGCGCAUGAAGCGCGUACGUCCGUAACGGCCGCGCCCGGAGCGGACGUCCGUUUUAAAGGACGUUAACAAUAAAAAUAAAUUAGGAUUAAUAAGUAAAAAUAGAGGAUUUUGAAUUUUUCUCCAACAGAUGACCAAGGACAUUCUACUUGGAAUGUGUUUAUGGUUACUAUUCAACUAUUUAUCGUAAAACAAACAUAUAUAUAAAAAGUGGAAGUACUUCAGUUUUUAAUUUACUAGUUCUUUUAAAUAAAACAACUCAAACAAGAAACUUCAGUUCGAAAGGCACUUAGGCUAUGUUUGGUUGGGGAACAAGGGUGGGGAUAAGGGGUUAUCCCCGCCUUGUUCCCCAGACACUAUUUUUACAAAAUUAAAAAUUUAAAUUUUAAAUUAUUUAAUUUAAAAUUUAAAAUUUUGAUAUUUUAAUUUUUUUUAUAUUUAGAAUUUGAUAUGUUAUUUUUUAAAUUAAAAUUACCAACUUUAAUUCUUAUCCCAUCUUACCUAACCAAACGUUAUUUUUCUUAUUCCCAGCAAUAACUCAAUUUUCAUCCAAACGCAAAAUUGAUCUAAUCCUCGCUUAUACCUCAAUUUAUAUCUAUACUCGGAAUACCCACUUUUUGCUUAUCCCCGAACCAAACGAUACCUUAGAAAGUAAUUUUCACUUGAAUUUAGUUCAAUUUGAAACCAAAAUGUUUGGAUUAAAUAGCUUCCAAAAAUAGUGGUAGUAGUAGCACAUUCAACAGAAUCUGGGCCAAACAGGAUGUCUUAAGGGCCCGUUUGAUUCGAGUUAUGUAAUAUUACCAAGUAUCUCGACAUAUCCAGGUAUUUUGGAUUUCGGCGUGAGAUUACUACUGAUGCUGCAUUAGCGCGUUUGGUUUAAUGCAGUAAUGUAAUACUAGAUUACAGUGUUUAUAGCAUUAAUACGUUUGGUUCAGUUUAUAAAAUUUAGUAAUCCUGACAUAAGAGUAUAGUUUUUUCCAAAAUUGCCUUUGUUGUGGUCAUUUGAAUAUUAGUUUUUACGGAAAUGACGAAUGGAGGGAAGGAGAUCGUGAUGCAUGAUUACCUGGAAGGACGACGCAAUAGAAGAUGAUAGGUGUUCGUGCGCGCGAGAGAGAGAGAGAGAGAGAGAGAGAGAGAAAGUGGCAUGAGAGAGAGAGAGGGAGGAAGGCGAGAGAGAGAUGAAAAUAAUAUUGUUAAUUAGAUUUGGGGUUGUUGGAGGGUAAAAUUGUCAUUUUACAUAAUAUAUAGUAUUAACGGGUUUCAGUAAUGCAAGAUACAUGACCCCCCCUCCUGUUAAUAUUUUCGAUGUAAUCCUGCUCGAUUUGUAAUGCUACAUUAACGAUUAGAUUACAUAGCCGAUUAACCAAACACAGUUAUCCUGAUAGAAUUGCCUGUAAUCCUGCCAGGAUAACUCGAACCAAACGCACCCUUAUUACNUUAGGAAAUAAAAUAAUAUAUAAAACAUAUUAAUUAGUUAAAAUUAAUAAAAGAUAAUAAAUAAGUUAAUAAGAUAAUAAUAAUAAAAGAAAGUAAUUAGGAAAUUUUGGAUUUUACACGAACAAAUAGUAGUGGGGAUUCAACAAUAUUAUCUUUAAUUUUAUGCACUUAGCUCAUAGCUAAAAGAAGUUUUGCACCUUUCAAUCUUUCAUGAACUAUAUAUCUCUCUUUUUUUCUUUUUUUUUUUUUUAAUCAAUCCAGUUUUAGGAGAUGAUUUAAUUAUCUUAUUCCAGGGGAACCAAAUAUGGAGUUUCUUUUUCUGUUUGAUGUAACAAGUCACUUCUUUUUUCCCUUUUUCUGGCUUCAACUUGCUUAUAUCUUAGGAUAUAAUUAAUAUAAUUAGGAAGAGUUUGUUCUCUUCUGCUACUCAUGAAUUAAUAUUAUCGUUUUGUCAGUAAUUAAAUUGAAAAAUACUAUCUGUACGCCUGCAUAUAGAUGCACAUCGAUCUCAUACCUCACUUAUCCGAGAAUUUAUAAACUCUUUUCUUGAGUCUCUUCUAUUAAAAUAAAAGAGUUAAUAAGAUCAGGGAGAAAAUAGUAGCUUUUGUAUGGAUGGAAUGUAAGAUUAUAUAACUUACACUAUCUAAAUAGGGUAUAUAAGUAGCCUCGAUCAAUUGAAUUUGAUCACUCUAACAAUUACGUAAAAGAAACGCCUAGAUCAUCCUAGAUCAUGGGAAAGUUUAUUUCACCUAUUGUUUCAAAGGAAUCAAUGGUAGCAUUUAUCUAUCACUAUCUGGCUCAUGCAGUUGACUCGUACUUUGAAUCGUUGAUAUAAGAGGUUGGGAAGUUCGAUUUUAUUUUUUUAAUAAAGUUUUGUGUAUCAAUAGAUUUCUUGUAAUUUUUUCAUCCAAAUUGUUUACUCGACAGCAAAAGAAAAUAAAAAUUUUAAGUCUCAUUUGUUUUCGUAUUUUUAUUUUCUUAAAUAGAAUUUUACAGAUUAUAAGAUACAGGAGUGGCUUUUACUUGACAACACAAAACAAAAAUAUGAAAACAACAAUUUUUUUUUUUUUUUUGUACUUCCAAUUUUUUUAAAACAAAUUAUCAUCUAUCACUUAAUUGGAUGCAUCAUAAGCUAUCCAAUUAUAAUAUCAAAAGAAAAGUCUAACCUCUGACACAUCAUAUCAUAUAGAAAUAGUGCUUAAAUAAGUGAAGAAAAGGUAACAAUACCGUAUAUAUAUAUAUAUAUAUAUAAAUAUAUAGCCCACUAAUGAUGCUUGUAAAACACCAAGUACUUGGUGCUUAUAAUUUUUUACCGUUAGUCUACUCUUCGGAUCAUUUUCAACCAUUAGAUUAUAAUAGUUCAAUGCCACCACCCCCACUAACCCUAGGGGCCAUAUCAUCCUAACCGCAUAUGUCUCUUAUCCAAUGGCUAAAAAUUACAAGCACCAAUAUACUUGUACUUUUCAAAGUAUGAGGAACUCAAUUAUAUAUAUAUAAUAUUAUAUAUAUAUAUAUAUAUAUACUAAUAUAUAUAUAGCCUUAGUCUUGUUCUAUACUAUCAUCCGAUGCCUAAAAAGUAGUUCGCCUUCGUUAUUCAUGCAAGUUGUUUUCGAUGAUGGAGCUUCGCGAAUCGAUAUAUAUACUUAUAUAUAAUAUAUAUAUAUAUAUAUAAUAUAUAUAUAUAUAUUAUAUAUAUAUAUUAGAGUAGCGGCUACUAUCUUAUAUGAGAUAUUUGGGCCCUUUCGUACUGCAUAAGUUGUUUUGCUAUGAUGGAGCUCCGGAAUCGAACGAUCCACCCGUUAAAAUAUGAUUAGAAGAAUUGAAACUUUUAGAAAAUAAAUUAUGCGUAAAUUCUUUCCGAGAAUCAUAAUAAUUCCCACUCAAUGGCGGCAUUAAAUGAGCGGUCAUAAAUCGAUACGACGUCCUAAAAAUGGAUGGAUCCUUCAAUUUAAGAUCGGAGUUAUUGAUUCUUAUCUAGAUAGGAAUAGAAUUUCUAUUCAAAAAUUCCAUCUAUUUGCAAUUCUUUUAGCACCUUUAAACCUGCACGCUAUUCCAUGAUACCGUCGUUUAAAAAUGUCAAUUCUUGUAAGCCGCUUUUGAUGCCGUAAGUGAAAUAGUAUGUCCGAAAAAAUUAUUGAAAUUGAAUAUCCUUAGAAGCUAAUACUCUAAGAUAUAUUACAGUAUGGAUGCGUCAAUACUCGAAAGCUUUAUAAUCGAAAGCGCAACUUGAAUAAGUACGAGGACACUCGUACUCAUAAAAGUAUAUGCUAAGCAGCCGACUCUAUAUAUAUAUAUAUAAUAUAUAUAUAUUACCUUUUUAUAUACUCUUUUCAACAACGUUGAUCGCUACGCAUUGACCGAAGCAUUGUAAGCGCUAACUAACCGUAAGAGUAGCUUUGCCUUCACAUAUCAAAAUUAUACAGAAUAGACCCGAGUUUUAAAGAAUCCUAAACACACGGCAAAAAUUACCAAUCGCCAAGAACGCCAGGCUCUCGUUUGCUAUCUCGUAUCAUCCGCUCAACCUGAGCUGCUCCACCUAAAAUCAAUACAAGUUGCUGUCAAUAUACUGUAUUUCGACCCCCCCCCUCCCCCCUUCCCCCGCCCCCCUCCUUUCUUUGGGCCUCUAAGAUCCAACCCACAACCACGACUCCCCUCCGAUACGUAUCUGAACAACAUAAAGAAAGUUAAAAAUUCGCCGCGUAGCGCGAAUACCACAUGCGCAACAAUCGGACACCAACCAACAAUGCACAAUACCCAUCGGAGGCCUAGGGUGCCAGGACUUCCCGCAUAUGCCGACCCAUUCCCCCAUCCACCCGCCCCCCGCCCCCCACCUCCCGUCACUCAACCCCCCCCCCCCCCCCCAAACAAAGCAACCACAUACCACCACACCACACCCACACGCACACCCACCACACACACCACAACCGCUGAUCCGGCCGGCGGUGAGGUGUGUUGGUUAGGCCGCCUGGUUCAGAUAUUUGGGUUUGGUGAGGAUAGGAACAAUUUCAGAUGAAAUAAUAUCUCAUCCUCCCGAGUCACUGCGAACGGUGCACCCGCAUCGCUCCACCUGAAAGCCCUGAAUUAUAUGAUCUCGUCCAAGUUCUUCGGAAUUGUUUCUCAUGUUACGCAUGGAGUAAUCAGAUUUAUCAUUGACAAAGAAACAAGUAACAAAAGAGUAACGCAUCGUCGCCUGAAAUUAAGUUCACGUAUUUAUACGGUUUUCUUUUUCUGAACAUAUGCAUGUUCUGCAUGAAAUUAGGCGAGCAGAUUUAAAAUGCCCCUCUGUUAAAGCUGUGUCCCAUCGGCCAUACCGUGUUAACAAGGUGUUAGCGGAGAGUCGACCCCUUGUAACCAACGAACAAGGGUCGAAAUCGCUUCUUUUUUGAACAUUAAUUAGCUAUGCAGAGUUUGUUCAUGACCAAAAUUUUGGAAGAUACUGUAAGGUAUUAUGUCAAAGGAACAUACUCAAUGGACCAAUGACCGUGUGCAUCGAUACUUGCAUUCUUUGAGUUGGUGAGACAUUUGAGUUGAUUGAACUCUUUAUAAUAUUGUGUGUGCCCGGAUUUUUUAAACAAAAGUAAACAAAAUUUGGAUUAAUUGAAGAGAUGAACAAGUUAAUAAUGCCGAAAGCUUCAAGAGGCCCGAACAUUUCUCCCAUAAAACCUAUUUUAUAUAUAUAUAUAUAUAUAUAUAAUAGGAACUUGCUUCCCAUAAAAGACUAUUAUAUAUGACGAAAUGCUUAUCGUUGAAGUGAAGACAUUCACCGCCCUCACGCCAACAAACAGAUAAUUGUUUGCAACGAAACAAUUUAGCGCACGCUACUCCUUUGUUCAUUUCAUUUAGAAAUAAUCACUUAGUUACUUGGAUAUAUGAAUAAUUAGGAUUGAAUUGAACGCUCAGUACCACAUGCAAUAACCUUUGCCACUCGUGCUCCCGUUACAAAUGCAUGCACUUUGCUGUUAAAAAAAAUAUGGACGGUCCGCGUUUUAAAAGAAACAAAUUAGUCCAUAGUAUUUUAAUAGAGUUAUAGUCAACUUUACUACGCAUGCAUGGCAGUGUUCAGACAUAGAUGAGAAUUGAAAGACCAGAGAAGUCUGAAGAAAUAAUAUAGUAAACCGCGGAGAGGAGUGGCCCAGACCAUGAAAGAAGGGUUACAGAGAAAUAUGUGGCAAAGAGGAGCAAAAGUCUCUCACACGAGUGUAGAGUGGGUGGGGUGGCUGAUGUUUUUGGCUGUUGGCUUAGAACAUUGAGUAGGUAUGAUAGUAGCGCCACAUGUGUGAUGCCUAAGAAUUUUGUGAAUGCACUAAUAAAUAGUCCCUCAAUGAAAAAAAAAGAGAACAAAAACAUUCACCGGUAUUUAAUACUCUAGUCGCUUUUUAAACCGUCGCAGCCUGCUGAGCUUUUCUUUUUUUCCCACUCGAGCUUCUCCUAUUUAUGUAAUAGUAAUAGUGGGAUUCCAGCAAUUGGCCUUUAAUUUUUUGUUAACUAAGUUCCUAGCUAAAAAUUGUUCUUCAUGAAAGUUUGGAUUUUCUUCUCUAACUGUUAAUUAGAGUUUAUGUUUGAGCUAUUAAAUUAACACGUUUAUUAGAGUAAUUUAGAAUGCCUCACUAUUUUUAUGAACUUGAUAGAGGUAUUUCAAUCAUGAUCAGCAGUUUCUGGUAAUAUUUCAAGUAAGUAAAUAAUCGUGCGUAAAUUUAUAACAGGUGAACCAUUAAAUCAAGUUAAUAGACUUUAUAUUGAAAUUAAAAGUUUUAAAAAUUAGAUAAUGGUUUGUACAUUUUUUCCUCACAUUGUAGUUUUCAUGUUGACUCAUUCCUUCUUUGGAAUCAAAGAAUUAUAUAUUAAACGCUUAUAAAAGUGAUGUUUGCUUUCUUUUGUGGAAUUCCAUGCGCUGGUAGUAAUUAAAUAGAGGAGGUGUACGAGCUCUCAGUCUUGAUGAGUGAUAAUAUUUCUGAAGAAAAAAGUGUUUGAAAUUAAGUAUGUUCCGGGUUAUAAAGUAAAUUGUGAUUAAUUUUGAAAACUUAUUUUUCAAGGGAAAAAAAUUACAAUAAUUUAGUACAAGUUUAGGGUUAUCAUCCACUGAUAGUCGGGUUGUAGGCAACUCCCUUUCAAGGGGAGGCCGCAUGUUCGAUCUAGGGGUGGCAAUCCAACUCGCUGUUCGCGAGCCACAGCUCGUUGUUCAAUUCAAAAUGAGCUCGAGAUCGAAUCGCUCGUUUAGUAAACGAGCCUAACACGAGUUUGGAUCAACUCGGGCUCGGUUUGCUCGAUAACAGCUCGAAUACAUAUAUUUUAUUAUGUUAAAUAAUUUAUUUAAUUUAUAUUUAUAUUAUAAAUAUAAUAAUUAUAUAUAUAAUAUAUAUAUAUUUAUUAUUUAAUUUUUAGUAAAUAAAAAUAUAAAUGCGAGCCUCAAUUAUAAAAAAAACUUAUUUAUAUCUAAAGUUUCAACUAUUAGAUCAAAAUCUAAUGGAUAAAUUUAUAAAUUUAUUUUUCAUAUAUAUAUCAAUCUAAUUCUUUUAACUUAUUAUUCAUUGGCCAGCUCAGUUUCGACUCGUUUAUUAACGAGUCGAACACGAGCAGAAUUUUUUUGGCUUGAUACUUUAGUAAACACGAGCCUCGCUCGGUGUUCGGCUCGUUUACACCCUCUAGCUUUCGAUCUGGCUUAUAUGUGUAUAUAUUUAUCUUUUACCUCUAUUCUUAGAGAGGAGGAAAUCUACUAUAUCACACUUGUACUAUAUUAUCAGUAACAAGCCAAUCAUAUUUCUUUAUUUAAGAAAAAAUUAUGAAGAAAGUUUACUGUAUCAAACUUGUAUCAUAUUAUCAGUAACAAACCAAUCAUAUUUCUUUAUUUAAGAAAAAAGUAUAAUAAAAAUAUUUUUUUGUUAAUCAUGAUGGGAAGUAUCAAUCCAAGGGGGAUAUCGAUCUAAGGGAGAUAAUUCUAUUGGCGGAGGACGCCACGUCAACGAUAUACCGGUGCAUUCUAGAUUUUGGGUAUAGUAUGACCACUAUUCUGAAAAUAAUGUGCACCUAAGAGGAGUGUUGGGAGGACACGUGUCACCCCAUGGUCCCCCCAAACCCUCCUUUAAUGUAGUAGUAUAGAGUAUAGAUAUAGAUAUAGAUGUGUAAGAUGUAUAACUUGGAAUGACUAAAAUAGCCCUUAAUAAUUGGGGCAUACUUUUCAUAGUCAAAUUUGUACACCUAAUUAAAGCAAGAAGGUGCUUAAGUCAAAAGUUUUCAUUGGUUAAUUAGGGCGUGUUUCGUUCGUCUCCAUUUCACCCUAGAAUCGAAAUCGGAAUGGACGAAUCCAUUUGUCCGUAUUUGGUAUGCGGGAUGUCUAUUAUGAUUUCGAUUUCCGGAUGAAUGGGAAUUCCCCAAGUACCUUUUUUUCCAAUCCGACAUAGGAGACCGGAUUGGAAAUUAAAUCCGGACAGAAUGAAUUUGUUUGGAUUAAAUUUAAUUUUUUAAGUUUAUUUUUUUUAAUUAAAACAUAAGUUUAAGUUUAAAAAUUAUAUUUAUAAUUUUAAAUUUUAAUUUGAAUUUAAAUUAAAAAUUAAAAUUCAGUCAAGCAUUUUGAAUCUAAUUUAAUUAUAAUUUGAAUUUAAAUUUAAAUUUAAUUUAAAAUCUAAAGUUUUAUUCAAAUUUUAUUUAAAAUUUAAAUUAAAUUUAUGGAUUCAAAUUGAAAUUGAAAUUAUAAUUUUAAGUUUGAAUUUGAAUAUCAAAAUUUAGUUUUAUAUUUUGAAUUAUCUGUUCAAUCUCAAAUUUUAAUACUUUAAAAAAAGUUAUUUAAAAGUUUGACAUCAUUUUAAAAUUUUAACCUAUAUUUUUAAUAAUUAAUUUUCAGUUUGAAUUUAGACUAACAUAUUAUAAAGAUAAAAUUGAUAUAUUAAUUUGAUUACACUUUUUAUAUCUAUCUGAACUAAACACUGACAAUAAAAAUGGUUCAUUUCAAUUUCGAUUAAGGUGGCGAAUCAAACAUAAUGAUGUAAUGAAUCAUUCCGACUCUAUUUCCAGCUUAUUCUCAUUCCAAUUCCAAUACCGAUUCCAAUUUCGAACCAAAUAUAUCCUAAAUGUCAAGAGCCAACUGAUGAGCAUUAAUAGAAGUUUAAAAAA